Molecule: microRNA precursor, 203 nt
Organism: Oryza rufipogon (brownbeard rice)
Lineage: Eukaryota; Viridiplantae; Streptophyta; Magnoliopsida; Poales; Poaceae
Rfam family: MIR812 microRNA precursor family
Source: Rfam
AAUAAACCAUGGGUUUCCGUGUCCAACAUUUGACCGUCCGUUUUAUUUAAAAAAAUUAUAAAAAAAAUUAAAAAUAAAAGUCACGCAUAAAAGUAUUAAUCACGUUUUAUCAUCUAACAACAAUGAAAAUACAAAUUAUAAAAAAAAUUCAUAUAAGACGGACAGUCAAAUGUUGGAUACGGAAACCCAGGGUUUGUCUUAUU